Molecule: non-coding RNA, 21 nt
Filed under: Caenorhabditis elegans
Lineage: Eukaryota; Metazoa; Nematoda; Chromadorea; Rhabditida; Rhabditidae
Source: RNAcentral
UAGACUUCGAUUAAUGUCCUC